RNAcentral lists this unclassified non-coding RNA (329 nucleotides) under soil metagenome. Its description in RNAcentral is "partial contains 5.8S ribosomal RNA, internal transcribed spacer 2, and large subunit ribosomal RNA". The stretch from base 1 to 120 matches the Rfam family "5.8S ribosomal RNA", at positions 35 to 154 of the family's 154-position model. The record is from RNAcentral.
GAUGAAGAACGUAGCGAAAUGCGAUAAGUAAUGUGAAUUGCAGAAUUCAGUGAAUCAUCGAAUCUUUGAACGCACAUUGCGCCCCCUGGUAUUCCGGGGGGCAUGCCUGUUCGAGCGUCAUUUCACCACUCAAGCCUCGCUUGGUAUUGGGCAACGCGGUCCGCCGCGUGCCUCAAAUCGACCGGCUGGGUCUUCUGUCCCCUAAGCGUUGUGGAAACUAUUCGCUAAAGGGUGUUCGGGAGGCUACGCCGUAAAACAACCCCAUUUCUAAGGUUGACCUCGGAUCAGGUAGGGAUACCCGCUGAACUUAAGCAUAUCAAUAGGGAGGA